RNAcentral lists this ribosomal RNA (476 nucleotides) under uncultured bacterium. RNAcentral describes it as "partial 16S ribosomal RNA". It matches the Rfam family "Bacterial small subunit ribosomal RNA", at positions 28 to 523 of the family's 1533-position model. The record is from RNAcentral.
GAUGAACGCUGGCGGCGUGCUUAACACAUGCAAGUCGAGCGAGUGAGUUCUUCGGAACGAUCUAGCGGCGGACGGGUGAGUAACACGUGGGCAACCUGCCUCAUAGAGGGGAAUAGCCUCCCGAAAGGGAGAUUAAUACCGCAUAAAAUUAUCGAGUGGCAUCACAUGAUAAUCAAAGGAGUAAUCCGCUAUGAGAUGGGCCCGCGGCGCAUUAGCUAGUUGGUGAGGUAACGGCUCACCAAGGCGACGAUGCGUAGCCGACCCGAGAGGGUGACCGGCCACAUUGGGACUGAGACACGGCCCAGACUCCUCAGGGAGGCAGCAGUGGGGAAUAUUGCAAAAUGGGGGAAACCCUGAUGCAGCAACGCCGCGUGAGUGAUGAAGGUCUUCGGAUUGUAAAGCUCUGUCUUUGGGGACGAUAAUGACGGUACCCAAGGAGGAAGCCACGGCUAACUACGUGCCAGCCGCCGCAGUAA